RNAcentral lists this ribosomal RNA (465 nucleotides) under Vreelandella stevensii. RNAcentral describes it as "partial 16S ribosomal RNA". It matches the Rfam family "Bacterial small subunit ribosomal RNA", at positions 338 to 795 of the family's 1533-position model. Lineage: Bacteria; Pseudomonadati; Pseudomonadota; Gammaproteobacteria; Oceanospirillales; Halomonadaceae. The record is from RNAcentral.
CCUACGGGUGGCUGCAGUGGGGAAUAUUGGACAAUGGGCGAAAGCCUGGUCCAGCCAUGCCGCGUGUGUGAAGAAGGCCUUCGGGUUGUAAAGCACUUUCAGUGGGGAAGAAAGCCUUGGGGCUAAUACCCUCGAGGAAGGACAUCACCCACAGAAGAAGCACCGGCUAACUCCGUGCCAGCAGCCGCGGUAAUACGGAGGGUGCGAGCGUUAAUCGGAAUUACUGGGCGUAAAGCGCGCGUAGGCGGUCUGAUAAGCCGGUUGUGAAAGCCCCGGGCUCAACCUGGGAACGGCAUCCGGAACUGUCAGGCUAGAGUGCAGGAGAGGAAGGUAGAAUUCCCGGUGUAGCGGUGAAAUGCGUAGAGAUCGGGAGGAAUACCAGUGGCGAAGGCGGCCUUCUGGACUGACACUGACGCUGAGGUGCGAAAGCGUGGGUAGCAAACAGGAUUAGAUACCCGAGUAGUC